RNAcentral lists this ribosomal RNA (644 nucleotides) under uncultured bacterium. Its description in RNAcentral is "bacterial SSU rRNA". It matches the Rfam family "Bacterial small subunit ribosomal RNA", at positions 66 to 703 of the family's 1533-position model. The record is from RNAcentral.
ACGGCAGCACGGGUGCUUGCACCUGGUGGCGAGUGGCGAACGGGUGAGUAAUGCGUCGGAACGUACCGAGUAGUGGGGGAUAACGCAGCGAAAGUUGUGCUAAUACCGCAUAUUCUGUGAGCAGGAAAGCGGGGGAUCUUCGGACCUCGCGCUAUUCGAGCGGCCGACGUCUGAUUAGCUAGUUGGUGGGGUAAUGGCUCACCAAGGCGACGAUCAGUAGCGGGUCUGAGAGGAUGAUCCGCCACACUGGGACUGAGACACGGCCCAGACUCCUACGGGAGGCAGCAGUGGGGAAUUUUGGACAAUGGGCGAAAGCCUGAUCCAGCCAUGCCGCGUGUCUGAAGAAGGCCUUCGGGUUGUAAAGGACUUUUGUCAGGGAGGAAAUCCCCAGGGCUAAUACCCUUGGGGGAUGACAGUACCUGAAGAAUAAGCACCGGCUAACUACGUGCCAGCAGCCGCGGUAAUACGUAGGGUGCAAGCGUUAAUCGGAAUUACUGGGCGUAAAGCGUGCGCAGGCGGUUGGUUAAGCAAGAUGUGAAAGCCCCGGGCUCAACCUGGGAACUGCGUUUUGAACUGGCCAGCUAGAGUACGUCAGAGGGGGGUGGAAUUCCGCGUGUAGCAGUGAAAUGCGUAGAGAUGCGGAG